UGUUGCUUUAGUAUAGUAUUCUACAUCCUUGGUGUUUAGUUAUAUUAACUACUUGAAAAAAUGAAUUUGAAAAGCAUAAUUUGUAUUUUAGCCACCAUAUUUUGUAUAAUGAUGUCGGGUGUAACAGCUCCAUAUCCAACAGGUGACCCGAAAGUUGAACGUGACCCGGGUCAACCUCCUAUACCGGAUACCCCACCCUCCGGACCAGUAGGAAUAAUACCACUACCACUACCACCAACACCACCACAAGUACCACAACCACCAACAACAUAAAAGCCACUACAACCAUGACCAAGACUAUAAAUGUGUAAUUCAAUAUGCAUUUGUAUCAUUUGUUUUUCAAAUAACUAUAACAAUUCAAUUUACAAACAAAACUGCAGUAUCCAAGAUCCGUGUCAAAUCCUGAAAAUUCGUAUGCUGACCAAUAUGUGUAUAUUGUAAAAUGUUCAUUAUUGUUUAUCAUAAUUGUGUUUCAACCUUUUUUUCUAAUUACAAUGUAUUUCAAAAAACAUUAUAUUUGUUACCUGUCGUAUAAAUGACAUUAUGUCUAUUACAUAUAAACCUACCUACCAAUAAAAAUAAUA
Molecule: long non-coding RNA, 584 nt
Organism: Adelges cooleyi (spruce gall adelgid)
Lineage: Eukaryota; Metazoa; Arthropoda; Insecta; Hemiptera; Adelgidae
Exons: 5
Source: RefSeq, a predicted model, not a curated record